CAAUAGCGUAUAUUAAAGUUGUUGCGGUUAAAAAGCUCGUAGUUGGAUUUCUGCCGAGGACGACCGGUCCGCCCUCUGGGUGUGUAUCUGGUUUGGCCUGGGCAUCUUCUUGGAGAACGUAGCUGCACUUGACUGUGUGGUGCGGUGUCCAGGACUUUUACUUUGAGGAAAUUAGAGUGUUUCAAGCAGGCACACGCCUUGAAUACAUUAGCAUGGAAUAAUAAGAUAGGACCUCGGUUCUAUUUUGUUGGUUUCUAGAGCUUAGGUAAUGAUUAAUAGGGAUAGUUGGGGGCAUUCGUAUUUAACUGUCAGAGGUGAAAUUCUUGGAUUUGUUAAAGACGGACUACUGCGAAGGCAUUUGCCAAGGAUGUUUUCAUUGA
This 380-nucleotide ribosomal RNA is filed under the name uncultured eukaryote. RNAcentral's name for it is "partial 18S ribosomal RNA". It matches the Rfam family "Eukaryotic small subunit ribosomal RNA", at positions 592 to 976 of the family's 1831-position model. The record is from RNAcentral.